RNA transcript from Lytechinus pictus (painted urchin), 3945 nucleotides. It is a transcript of the gene named transmembrane anterior posterior transformation protein 1 homolog, with no coding region annotated. The transcript is spliced from 14 exons. The record is from RefSeq and is a predicted model, not a curated record. NCBI's taxonomy places the organism in Eukaryota, Metazoa, Echinodermata, Echinoidea, Temnopleuroida, Toxopneustidae.
AAGUAAAAAUAAUCAGCGGUUUCAUCUUUGAAUUAAAUUUGAAAAACGGGAAUGUCAGUUCAUAUUAUAUAUUAAUUUUAGAAAGUGUUUAAUAGAAAAGAACAGUAAAGAUGUGAGUUUUAUGGCAUUAAAAAGAUGACUUCAAAAGAAAGAGUUCUUGCGAGACGACUAGCCUAAAAUAACGAGAAAUAAGCUUCUGUUUCUGUCUGUUAGAUUGAAUGCAAAUAUCAGAUGUCAUGAAUGCCUCGGAGGAAAGAAAGCAAUCUGAAACAUUCGAAGAUAUUUUGAAGGCUCAAGAAAAUAUAUCUUUUUGGAGCUACCUGAGUACUGAACUAACCAGAGGUUAUGUGCUUGAGAAUGAUGAAGCACGUUACAUGCAGAAGAGGGAAAGAGUUUACACAUUUAUACGCAUCCCUAAAGAACUUGAAAAGAUGAUGAUCUAUGGUUUCUUCCUGUGCAUGGAUGCAUUUUUGUUCAUCUUCACAUUCCUACCACUGAGAGUAAUCAUUGCCUGUCUUCGGCUCCUCACGUUCCCUUGUUCACCAAGAGGGAGAUCUCGUUUAAAGGCAGCUGAGAUAUGUGACCUUUUGAAAGUGGUCAUUUUGGUGGUAUGCACCUAUCUGCUGGACAAACUGGACAUCUCCAUGCUUUACCAUAUAGUCAGAGGUCAAGCAGUCAUCAAAUUGUACAUCAUCUAUAACAUGUUAGAAGUUGCAGACAAACUUUUUUCAUCUGUCGGUCAAGACAUACUGGAUGCCUUGUUCUGGACGGCUACAGAGAAACGAGAUAAGAAACGUGAACACCUUGGUAUUGUUCCCCACAUCCUCCUAGCCAUCAUUUAUGUCACGCUUCAUUCUAUUUUAGCCAUAUUCCAAGCUACCACCCUCAACGUUGCAUUCAACUCCUUCAGCACAGCUCUUCUUACCAUCAUGAUGUCAAAUAAUUUCGUGGAGCUGAAAGGAAGUGUCUUCAAGAAAUUUGAUAAAUUCAACUUAUAUCAGAUAUCCUGCUCUGAUGUAAGGGAAAGAUACCACUACAUGGUUCUGUUGUUUUUUGUGGUGCUUCGCAACAUGGCAGAAUUUUCUUGGAGUUUCGAUCAUUUUUGUAAGAUGUUACCAGAUGUUAUAAUGGUUCUGAGUGCCGAGAUACUUAUUGACUGGGUCAAGCAUGCUUUUAUCAGUAAAUUUAAUGCUCUACCAGCAUCUACCUACACAGAGUUUAGAGCCAGCCUUGCAUAUGAUAUGGUUAUUAGCAGAAAAAAAAAUGCUUUCUCGGACCAUUCAGAUCUGGUUGCUAGGAGAAUGGGCUUCAUCCCAUUACCGCUCGCUUGCGUGGUGAUAAGGAUUAUUAGACAGACUGUGAAACUAGAUUGGAACACAGCAGUAGUUCUCAUUAUAUUCCUGUAUCUAUGCUUGGUAGCGUUCAAGAUUCUACUGAGUAUAAUCCUCAUGGGCAAGGCAUGUCUGUAUGUCAGGGAGGCUGGUCUAAUGGAACAAUUACUCAAAAAGAAGUCGGACCCUUCUAACACUACCACCUCCACCUCAACUCCAGCACCACCUGCAAAAUCAGCAUCGGAACCUCAUAAGCAAAUGGCCACACCUCCGACAAUAGCAAAUCUAAGGAUUCCAUCGGUGGACCCCGCAAUGGUGGCACCUAUAUCACCAACUACGCUACAAUCCUUGACCUCGGCACCGCUGCUCGCAUCGGACAGCAGUAUUGGUGUACUCUCUAGACAUGUGGAAGCCGGAGAAGCCGUUCGGAGACCAAAAGGAGCCUUCACACCUAAAGCUCAACCAACAGAUAUCUCACAGAUUGAUAGAUAUACGCUGUGUGGGAAUAGAAUUGUAUGAUUAUGGUAUAUGAAUCAAAUGUUUCUUUGUUUUAUAUUUAUAUAACUAUUUAUUAUAUUUUCAUCUCAUUACUAUGAUGUUGUGAUUAUCCGCCUGUUGUCCAAUUGCCUUACAAAUUUGAAAAGGUUGAAAUGAAGAUUUGUCCAUUGUGGGUGACUUAUACAUGUAUGAGGACGAACUGAUGAUAGACCAAAUUGUAGUAGACGAGUUGGCAAUUGGACGAAUCGGCAUUAGACAAAUUGGAAAUAAACCUGGACAUGUAGGAAGUCACACAUAAUGUAUUGCAUUACUGGCAAUAUUUUUCACCAUCGCCACUAAUAUAUUUCAGUCAGAGGACUGUGUUUGACGCAGGUAUGAGUGAUAAAUCUAUAUCAAAGAUUUUUCAAAUAUUCAAAAGUUUAUUUGUGCUCGGUAAUUCUCGUGUGCUAUUAAGAUACUCAGUAGUCUGUACAAAGAAUGCAUAAAUUGUAUAUUGUUUCAAAUUCCAUCUCAGAAUUUAUCACUACAUUCACAUGCAAAACUGCAAAUCAAUAGUGUAUACAUUUAUCUGUUAAUAAUUAAUGCUAUUUGUUCUGUUAGAACCUGUUUUAAGUUACAUUCUGUUGUAUUUUUUCUUUUGUCUAUUUUUGUUGGGGGGGGGGGGGUGGCCACAAGUAUUACUGAUACCUCUUAUUUUGUUAUUUUUUAUCUGGUGCUACUAAUGAACUCCUGCUGCAGUACAAUUUCCUUGCACCUUCAGAUUUUGCUGCAUUUGAUAGUAAAGUUGUGUGAGGAAAGAGUUAUUGAAGUUAUGUUCAUAAAUUUACCUAAGUUAUCUCUUACGAGUAAUAAAUAAUUGAUGAUAUGAGUCUAGAUUAACUCGUUAUAAUAAUAUUUAGCCACAUUCAAAUGUUGGUAGGUCAGAAAUUCAUUGCCUUUAUGAGAAAGUGGUAUCAAUGAAAUUUGCCAAGGCAUUAUUGAGAGUUAUUACUUAAAAAUUGUCCAGUACUGAAGUACUACAUUAUAUGUUUAUUGUUUUGUAAUCUGUAAUACCAAAUUAAUUUGAAUAAAGUAAGCAAAAGUUAGAAUAAAAGAAAACAGUAGUUCCACUUGAGGGGGUUGAUGUUAACAGCUCAUUUUUGUGGGAGUAUUUUAUUUUACUAUAUCAUUUAAAAAAAAUAACCUCCAGGACUUUGAUUCAGGAUUUGAAUCUCAAGAAAUUUGAAAUUCCUUUGACCAGGUAGAUUUCAUGCACUCAUGAAAGAAAGGAAUAUUAAAUAUUUCACAUAUUUAUACAAAAGAAAAAUUGAGCUAAUGGUAUCAGCAACUAAAUUUUAUGCACAAACACCCAUCACUCUUUCAAAAAACUGAUAUGAAAAAAAAAUGUUAACUUUGUACUUUUUAUUCCGUUUUGGUGAAAUUGUGACUGGCUGUACUGUUUAUAUGUGUAAUAGUAGACCAUUCAUUCAAAUCUUAUUUCAUGCCAGUAUAGAGUACCCCUUUAAGGGUGUCUAUUAUUGCUUUCAAUAAUGCAUUCCAAGCCUUUAUUUAGUCACAGGUAUUUACAUUGAAAUUGUAUGAAAAACUCUAUAACUUUUGCCAAGAUUACUUUUUUGAUUACCCUGUACCCUUUGAUAAUACAUCUCGGCAGACAAUCAAAUCCAUGUGUGAGCUACCACCCUAAACCAGCAAUAAGUCGCACAAAAUUAUACUUGUGGUUAAGAGCUUCAAAAAGGAAAAGGAGAAAACAAGGUUUGAAGUUUUAGGUUCACUCAAGCAAGAAAUAUGCACAUUGUGCAUAAAGAAGAAUAAUUUUGACUCUGUUAACACCGUAUUGAUGAUUAGCCAUUUAAAUAGAACCUACCCUUGCGACUUAGUUUGUUUGGAGAUGGUUGGUCACAUUCAUUGAACAAAUAUAUCACUGUGUAUGAUUCAUGUACAGUAGACUAGUUACUAAUGUUGAGUGACCGAAAGGUAAAAAAAUAACUGGUUACCGUGAGGUGAAAAAUAAUUGUACUAUUAAUUGUUUGUAAUGUCUAAUCAAAGAUUGCUUAUCAGUAUUGAUGCAAAGUUAUGUUCUUAUGAUGGCCAAUUAAAAUCAUCACUUCAAAUUUGA